GCCUUAUCCCGAUCCCUUUCCUCCUCUCAGAACGGAGGUGAAGAAGCACGGGAGCACACCGGAGCGUCGAUGUGGAGGCGGCGGAUCAGAGGAGCCGGCGAAGAGGUCGGCCAGGACGGGAAUAGCAGCGCCACCGUCUCUUCCUCCCAAAUUUUCAGUGCGGAGCUGGAGUAAUGCCGUCGGCGUCGUGGUCGAGCCGUCAAGGGUGCGGGAUGUGGGAUGUCCACCCAUCCGCAACUACUGGAAGAACACGCUGGCAGCGAGCGUCCCCAAGAGCAAGGGAGGAGAUGAUGUUGCAGCUCAAGGGGGCCUCACUACCUGAAGGUGAGCAUGGAUGGCGCCCAUUUUCCCCCAUCAAAUUUGUACAAAUUCGUUGCAGAGCAAUGGACAUUUGUGUUUGAAUCAGUGGGUGAACUUUUUGCAAUCAAUAGAUAGGCAGUUAUGUGAAUUAUGGGGAGAAAGCAGUCCCUUGGAUUUCUAGAA
Aegilops tauschii subsp. strangulata is the source of this 483-nucleotide long non-coding RNA. RefSeq lists it as uncharacterized. Lineage: Eukaryota; Viridiplantae; Streptophyta; Magnoliopsida; Poales; Poaceae. The record is from RefSeq and is a predicted model, not a curated record.